Molecule: long non-coding RNA, 199 nt
Filed under: Sorghum bicolor (sorghum)
Lineage: Eukaryota; Viridiplantae; Streptophyta; Magnoliopsida; Poales; Poaceae
Description: long non-coding RNA (SBIC_LNC006463)
Source: RNAcentral
GUGGAUAGGUGCAUUUGUGGUAUUUGUGGCUAAUUUCUAUUUCUUUGGGAAUAGCUCUCUAUUGAAACUUUUCAGGAAAGACAUGGGCUAUCUUUGUUAUUUAUUUUUAUUCAGAGAGGCGGGCAUCUAGUACCCAUUGUUUUAAUUACUGGGACACUUGUCUAUCUUUUACUCCAUUUUCUUCUUUUUUUCAUGGCCA